Mercenaria mercenaria is the source of this 1116-nucleotide long non-coding RNA. RefSeq lists it as uncharacterized. The record is from RefSeq and is a predicted model, not a curated record. The transcript is spliced from 2 exons. NCBI's taxonomy places the organism in Eukaryota, Metazoa, Mollusca, Bivalvia, Venerida, Veneridae.
UCUUCUUUUUUUCAUGCAUGUUGAUAUUUUUGCAUGAAAGAAUGUUUUCUUUUAUGGAGCAUGUUAUCUCAUUUGAUGGAAGGUUAUGAAAAUACCUUUGCAGGAAGAAGUGCUAACUUAAAGACUAGUAUGUGGGCAACCAAUGUCAGAAAAAAAAGGUAAAGGUAAAGGUAAAUUUUAUUUACCGUCGCUUUGUGAAACAGUUAACAUAAGCUCUGUAGAGCUUUUUAGCGACCCUAUUUAAAGAACAGUUAAAACCAAUUAUACCUUACCCCCAGCAAUUUGCUGGUACCCAUUUGCAGCUGGGUCGACUGAGGCAAUCGUGAUAAAGUGCCUUGCCCAAGGACACACCGCAAUGGGAGUAGCCAGGAUUCGAACCAGGGGCCUUCACCUCCAUAGGAAAGCGUCUUAGCCCACUCAACCAAUGCGUCCACGUCCGCGUCAGAAAUGAACAUGGACAAGUGAUCAUGACCGUCAUGACUACAAGCUAAGGCUAUGGUCUGUCUAACAUGAUACAAGACCUGUGUGCACGCUACCAGAAUGCCUUAGGGCCAUCUCCUCGGAUCCUGUAUGCUGAUAGGGACUGCUGUGGUGCUGCAUAUAUUGGAAAAUGCUUAAAAACCUGGUGAUACCUUACAGUGAGGCCGGAUAUCUGGCAUUUCAUGCAGAGAUUGUCUGUCGGAUGCACAACUGAUGCCCAUCUAUUGUACGGGACCUUCAUGGGUUGUCUCAGCCACUGUAUCUUCAAGUGGGAGGAUGAAGCCGUCAAGACACUCCCAGUCCUUUUGACAACUGGCAGGCUCGACAUGUUGCCCUUUGGCAUCUAGUGUUAGUUUUAUAAUAUUUAGCUUAUAAGACUGGAAUUUUGACCAAAUUCAAAGAAUUUUGACUCUAAGGUGAAAAAGUGGACUAACUGCAUAAUAAGACAUCUAUAUCUUUGCACAGGCUAUAAAGAAGUGUCAUCUGUUUUCAUGGGUAGUUCCGAGUAUGUUAUUUGAUUGAGGAUAAAUUACAUAUUAUUGUACAUUACGUUUUCAUCUGUCUGUGAUAUUUACAUAUUUUCAUGAAAUUUCCUUAAAACCAUGUGUAUUUACAAUAUAAAUAUUUCUUGCACGA